CCCCAAAGGUGGCGCAGUUGGUUGCACUGUUGCCUUGCAGAGAGAAGGUCCUGGGUUUAAAUCCCAGUCUGGGGU
This is a non-coding RNA of Characodon lateralis, 75 nucleotides long. The record is from the annotation of a GenBank genome assembly. NCBI's taxonomy places the organism in Eukaryota, Metazoa, Chordata, Actinopteri, Cyprinodontiformes, Goodeidae.